This 318-nucleotide long non-coding RNA is filed under the name Setaria italica (foxtail millet). Its description in RNAcentral is "long non-coding RNA (SITA_LNC001623)". Lineage: Eukaryota; Viridiplantae; Streptophyta; Magnoliopsida; Poales; Poaceae. The record is from RNAcentral.
CCGGGACCGGAUCCUGAGGCUGGUGAAGAGCCUGUCGCCCAAGGUGCUGACGCUGGUGGAGCAGGAGUCCAACACCAACACUGCCCCCUUCGCGCAGCGGUUCGCGGAGACGCUGGACUACUACACGGCCAUCUUCGAGUCCAUCGACCUGGCGCUGCCGAGGGAGGACCGGGAGCGGAUCAACAUGGAGCAGCACUGCCUGGCGAGGGAGAUCGUGAACCUGGUGGCCUGCGAGGGGGAGGAGCGGGUGGAGAGGCACGAGGUGUUCGGCAAGUGGAAGGCGCGGCUGAUGAUGGCCGGGUUCAGGCCGUCCCCGCU